RNAcentral lists this ribosomal RNA (465 nucleotides) under uncultured bacterium. RNAcentral describes it as "partial 16S ribosomal RNA". It matches the Rfam family "Bacterial small subunit ribosomal RNA", at positions 338 to 795 of the family's 1533-position model. The record is from RNAcentral.
CCUACGGGUGGCAGCAGUGGGGAAUAUUGCACAAUGGGCGCAAGCCUGAUGCAGCCAUGCCGCGUGUAUGAAGAAGGCCUUCGGGUUGUAAAGUACUUUCAGCGGGGAGGAAGGGAGUAAAGUUAAUACCUUUACUCAUUGACGUUACCCGCAGAAGAAGCACCGGCUAACUCCGUGCCAGCAGCCGCGGUAAUACGGAGGGUGCAAGCGUUAAUCGGAAUUACUGGGCGUAAAGCGCAUGCAGGCGGUUUGUUAAGUCAGAAGUUAAAGCCCCGGGCUCAACAUUGGUACUGCAUGUGAUACUGGCAAGCUUGAGUAUCGUAGAGGGGGGUAGAAUUCCAGGUGUAGCGGUGAAAUGCGUAGAGAUCUGGAGGAAUACCGGUGGCGAAGGCGGCCACCUGGACGAAGACUGACGCUCAGGUGCGAAAGCGUGGGGAGCAAACAGGAUUAGAUACCCUUGUAGUC